This is a long non-coding RNA of Lycium ferocissimum, 532 nucleotides long. RefSeq lists it as uncharacterized. The record is from RefSeq and is a predicted model, not a curated record. NCBI's taxonomy places the organism in Eukaryota, Viridiplantae, Streptophyta, Magnoliopsida, Solanales, Solanaceae. The transcript has 2 exons.
CUUCAAUGCAUUGAUCACGUUUUCUUGGGUUACAUGCAGGGGGGAUCAUGCUUCGAAUGGUUGUUGCCAUUGUCAACAGUGUUACUCCCUGGUUAGACACGAGAUACAUAUUAUGGAAGUUCAAGUGUUAAAACGGUAAUGAUUUAAGUGUGUAGCAAAUCUUUUACCAGUUGGAAAACUAGACACUAAGGCUCGAAUUGCUCACAGGUCUUAUUUCCUUUCCAGGUCAUUUUCUUUUAUUAAAUCUAGGCUACAUGCUGUUUAUUAGAAUGACUAUCCUUUUGGCCAUUUCAGAUUUUCCUUGUUGAUAUUGGAGACAACUUCUCUAUAUUUAAUUGGCUCAAGAAUCUUACCAAAGCAGCAAUUGAAGCAAAGAUUGCAACAGUCAAAUAACGGCCAAGUUUAGCAUCUGCCAGGAAACCACCUAGAAGACCAAGAAGAUUAAGUGUGCCCAUGAAGUUGGUGACAAUGUUGGCAGAUUUGGAGGAUGGAAGAUGUAAAUCUCCGACCAAGUAUGUGACUAAGUUCAUUG